AUUUAGACAACAAGCAGCCAAAGUUAAAAUCAAGUGAAUACAAGUAGUAAUAGGUAAUCGUAAGUCCUUCGCCAAUGAGAAAAAACGCACACCGUAUAAUCAGCUAUAUAACAUGUAUUAGGCGCCGACAUGAAAAAUAUGAAAUAAUACAAUUGAGGAAACUGACGGCUUGAUUUACAACAUAACAAUUCACGGAAAGAAAAAAAUAACGAACAAAACCAAACGACAACCACUUAACUAAAUAUCUUUACUUACAAAUACAUAUCGCAAACCAUUCUAUUUGGGACAGUGGUGUAAUAGUUAAACAUAAGAACAAAUUAUGAAUCAACGCUGGGAAGUGCUUAACCAGUUAGAUCGGUAAAGAGCAGAAAAAAACAUUUCACAUAGUGGAUAUGGUCAGGUAUUUAUACAUCCUAUACACAUUAAGAUAUACAGAUCUGAAAGUAAUCGAAUUUACUGACAGGUUAUUCAACCCC
Molecule: long non-coding RNA, 476 nt
Filed under: Mytilus galloprovincialis (Mediterranean mussel)
Lineage: Eukaryota; Metazoa; Mollusca; Bivalvia; Mytilida; Mytilidae
Source: RNAcentral